RNAcentral lists this ribosomal RNA (416 nucleotides) under uncultured bacterium. RNAcentral's name for it is "bacterial SSU rRNA". It matches the Rfam family "Bacterial small subunit ribosomal RNA", at positions 356 to 773 of the family's 1533-position model. The record is from RNAcentral.
GGGGAAUAUUGCACAAUGGGCGCAAGCCUGAUGCAGCGACGCCGCGUGAGGGAUGACGGCCUUCGGGUUGUAAACCUCUUUCAGUAGGGAACAAGGCCAGUCGUUGACUGGUUGAGGGUACUUGCAGAAGAAGCGCCGGCUAACUACGUGCCAGCAGCCGCGGUAAUACGUAGGGCGCAAGCGUUAUCCGGAAUUAUUGGGCGUAAAGAGCUCGUAGGCGGUUUGUCGCGUCUGCCGUGAAAGUCCGGGGCUCAACCCCGGAUCUGCGGUGGGUACGGGCAGACUAGAGUGAUGUAGGGGAGACUGGAAUUCCUGGUGUAGCGGUGAAAUGCGCAGAUAUCAGGAGGAACACCAAUGGCGAAGGCAGGUCUCUGGGCAUUAACUGACGCUGAGGAGCGAAAGCAUGGGGAGCGAAC